GAGACUCUGUGCGCGUGCAUAUCAAUAAGCGGAGGAAAAGAAACUAACAAGGAUUCCCUAGUAACGGCGAGUGAAGCGGGAAGAGCUCAAAUUUGAAAUCUUAAAGGUUUCCCUUGACGAAUUGUAGUUUAAAGAAGUGUUUUUCUGUUAGUGGAGUUCGGUAAAAGUUCUUUGGAAUAGGACAUCAUAGAGGGUGAGAAUCCCGUAUUUGACCGUUACUUUCCUAGCUGUGUGAUACACUUUCAAAGAGUCGGAUUGUUUGGGAAUGCAGUCCAAGAUGGGUGGUAAAUUUCAUCUAAAGCUAAAUAUUGGCGAGAGACCGAUAGCGAACAAGUACCGUGAGGGAAAGAUGAAAAGAACUUUGAAAAGAGAGUUAAACAGUACGUGAAAUUGUCAAAAGGGAAGCGUUUGACACCAGUGUUGUUUAGUUGAGAAUCAAUUCAAUAAUUUUUGAUUCUAAGUAGUAUUGACUUCAUCAGCUUGCUGCUUUCUUUCUCAGGAAUUAUUGAAUGCACUUUUCAGUUAACAAGUCAACAUCAAUUUCUUUUGUUGUAAAGGGUAAGAGGAAGGUGGCUUACGCUUCGGCGUCAAGUGUUUAUAGCCUUUUAUCUCUGCAAUCGGAGAGAUUGAGGUCAUGCAGCGUAGAUCCUUCGGGGGUUAGAUACACUUGGUGCUAAGCUAUAGCCUUGUAUAGACAGCUUGUUGACUAUGCUCAGUCAUGUAGCUUACUCGCUGAUGCUAUUUUACCUACGCUUAGGAUGUUGACAGCAGUAUAGACUGU
Molecule: ribosomal RNA, 781 nt
Filed under: uncultured Neocallimastigales
Lineage: Eukaryota; Fungi; Neocallimastigomycota; Neocallimastigomycetes; Neocallimastigales
Description: partial large subunit ribosomal RNA
Rfam family: Eukaryotic large subunit ribosomal RNA
Source: RNAcentral